UGUGCACCGGUGGGGUCCCUCGGCCUGGCCUGCGCCCUCUUGCAAUCUGGGACCCCUUGGGGGAAUGUCGGAGAGCCGGUUUCAGCCCGAUCCCUGCAGGCCAGGCCGAGGGACCCCACCAGUGCAGG
Molecule: non-coding RNA, 128 nt
Organism: Myotis lucifugus (little brown bat)
Lineage: Eukaryota; Metazoa; Chordata; Mammalia; Chiroptera; Vespertilionidae
Source: Rfam